Punica granatum (pomegranate) is the source of this 1475-nucleotide non-coding RNA. The record is from RefSeq and is a predicted model, not a curated record. Lineage: Eukaryota; Viridiplantae; Streptophyta; Magnoliopsida; Myrtales; Lythraceae.
UCGGGGGGUGGGCUUGGGAUUAGAGUAUGGAGGAAAGGAAUAAGGCCCUCCUGGGUGGACUUGUGGAGCAAGCUACAAAAGAAUGACGUCCCCCCAGGGCCCGACUAUUUCGACACAGGGUCACUGGCGAGGGCUUGGAAGGGUUCAAAUACCUAGAAAAGCUCUAAGAGCAGGAAUGGAGCGCUUGGGAAAUACGAGGAGCUGAGUUGAGAAUUGGAGAUUGAACUAAAGGUAAAAGUUUUGGGAUUAUUGGUGGGUCGGUCAUGCUCCCAUCAGAUCUCAACGAUACAAAGGGCCUUUACCAGCAGGUGAGGUAUGUGUAAUCGUUAUUUCGCCCUCCAGAAAUUGGGAUUUCUCCCAACUCCCAAUGAUUCUGCCUAAGGAACUCCUCGAUAGGGCCGGCAAUAUUUGAUACGACGCGAUUACACGACACGGACACGACACGGAGUUAAACGGGUUUGGGUUUUGUAUUUUUGAUAUUCGGGUUAAACGGGUCCAACUCGUUUAGACACGAUUAAUAAACGUGUCUUAGCGGGUCGAACCCGUGUAACCCGAUUAUACACGAUUAAACCUGUUUAUUUAACCGUGUUUAAUCGUAUUACUAUAAUCGUGUAACCCAUUAACCCGUUUAUCUAACUGAAUUUACGAAAAUAUCCUUAGGUUAACCCUAAUUUCGAAAUUUCCAAAAGCAGUAGCCGCAGUACCCGAUUUCAACUUUCAGUCUUUCGCACGCCCCCCUUCAUCCUUCAUCUUCACAAUCACAAGUCGAAGUCGAUUUCCCUCCUUCUUGCAGAUCCAGCCUCCACCUGAGUCAAGAACUACUUCGAUCGUCUUCACAGUCCAGUCAAAGAUCUCUCGUCUUCGUUGCCUUUUGGCCGGAGGAGAACCUCACUGGAAGUAUCCUUCCCCUUCCGUCGCCGGAGCUUCGAUUGGAUCUCGAUCGGACACAGUUUCCGCUCUGAUCCUCUCCGUCACGUUCCUCAUCAUCAACAUACUCCUCAACAGCUUCGCCUCAGACACACCGAUGGUGUGAUUCAGUUUCCUCCGCCGCCGAUCCAUCCUUUUUCAACCGCCCCAACGCGUGCUGGAAUAAUUUCAUUUGAGCUAUUGAGAGAUAAGGAUUGAACUCCGAGGCUAUAGACUUGGCAGAUCUUGAGCCAUGACUAUGGUGGAGGACAGAGAGACCAGGGUCAGAUCAGCGGGCUCACUGUCUACUGAUUAUGCUACCAUAGUUCCCAUCAAGAAAUGGAGGUUCCCAAUUGUUCGACCUCCAUCACCUCCACCGGAUGAGUCAUGUCCAACACUGGAGUUUGAUGAAAAACGAAAGGAGAACACCUCUGCAUCUCAGGGAUCUGCUGUCUUAAACUCCUUAAUGAUUAAGUUGCCAGUGGAAUUGUCAAUGAACAUGUCGUGUUUGCAUAAUUCCGGAACUAAUUGUAUUGGUAAGAUCUUAAUUGUAUUGUUUGAAAUUUUGU